RNAcentral lists this ribosomal RNA (809 nucleotides) under uncultured bacterium. RNAcentral describes it as "bacterial SSU rRNA". It matches the Rfam family "Bacterial small subunit ribosomal RNA", at positions 8 to 796 of the family's 1533-position model. The record is from RNAcentral.
AGAGUUUGAUCAUGGCUCAGAACGAACGCUGGCGGCGUGGAUAAGACAUGCAAGUCGGACGGGAUUUUCCGUUGUAGCAAUACGAUGGAAAGUCUAGUGGCGAACGGGUGCUUAACACGUGGGCAACCUGCCAGGAAGUGGGGGAUAGCUCGCCGAAAGGGAAUUAAUACCGCAUGUGAUUAGAGAGGACAUCCUUUCGAAAUUAAAGUCGGGGCAACCUGACGCUUCUUGUGGGGCCCGCGGCCUAUCAGCUAGUUGGUGAGGUAACGGCUCACCAAGGCUUUGACGGGUAGCUGGUCUGAGAGGACGACCAGCCACACUGGGACUGAGACACGGCCCAGACACCUACGGGUGGCAGCAGUCGAGAAUUUUUGACAAUGGGGGAAACCCUGAUCGAGCGACGCCGCGUGGAGGAUGAAGGUCUUCGGAUUGUAAACUCCUGUCAUUGGGGAACAAGGUGCAUACGUUAACUGCGUGUGCAUUGAUGGUACCCGAAGAGGAAGAGACGGCUAACUCUGUGCCAGCAGCCGCGGUAAUACAGAGGUCUCAAGCGUUGUUCGGAUUCAUUGGGCGUAAAGGGUGCGUAGGCGGCGCGGUAAGUCGGGUGUGAAAUCUCGGAGCUUAACUCCGAAACUGCAUUCGAUACUGCCGUGCUUGAGGACUGGAGAGGAGACUGGAAUUUACGGUGUAGCGGUGAAAUGCGUAGAUAUCGUAAGGAAGACCAGUGGCGAAGGCGGGUCUCUGGACAGUUCCUGACGCUGAGGCACGAAGGUCAGGGGAGCAAACGGGAUUAGAUACCCUUGUAGUCC